UAAUAAUGCAAUGAGCUAUAAUAAUAAAAUGAGCUGUAAUAAUACACUGAGCUGUAAUAAUACAAUGAGCUGUAAUAAUGCAAUGAGCCGUAAUAAUACAAUGAGCUGUAUUGAUACAAUAAUCUGUAAUAAUACAAUGAGCUGUAAUGAUACAAUAAGCUGUAAUGAUACAAUAUGGUGUAAUAAUACAAUGAGCUGUAAUGAUACAAUAAGCUGUAACAAUACAAUAAGCUGUAAUAAUACAAUAUGGUGUAAUAAUACAAUGAGCUGUAAUAAUGCAAUGAGCAGUAAUAAUGCAAUGAGCUGUAAUGAUACAAUAAGCUGUAAUGAUAGAAUAUGGUGUAAUAAUACAGUGAGCUGUAAUGAUACAAUAAGCUGUGGUUUGAUGGUACUUACCAUGUCCCUUUAAGCAAUGUACUCUAGUUGUAAGUUUUGUUCAUAACAAAUCCACAAGAUAUUUAGAGAGAAACUGUUAUGUCUGUCUUAUUUUAAUGUUCUGUAUAGUUAUUCCUAUGAAUUACAUAUUUGAGUAUGUGACAAUGUAAACGUUAUUUCAAUACCAUGUGUAAAUUCUCCCAGUAUUAUUACCAGUACACCACCAGCCGCCAUCUUGUCUCCCUAAUCCUGUAUUUCUGGGCAGGACGAGGACAUGAUACAUGUCUAAGUGUAAUCAAUGCAGGAAGCAGAAUAGUGCUGGAGAGACAGGAAGAUAUUGCAAUGCGUGUCAGGUCCUCUGUAAGGCUCCGAGGCAUUGCAUGACUUGCUCUGGGUACACAUUACCUUUCAGAGAACAACCGAUUUGGUAGUUGUUGAGAUAACCUUGUCUGACCGACGUAAUCUGCAACAGGUCACAUCUUGGAUAUGCUGGGAUACAUUGUGUUUAUGAAGGAUGUAUUGUGUGUGUGUGAAGGAUGUAUUGUGUGUGAAGGAUGUAGUGUGUGUGUAGGGGUACAGUGUAUGCGCGAAGGGUACAGUCUGUGCACGAGGGGUACAGUGUGUGGGGGGUCAGGUUGUGUGAGGGUUAGUGUGUGUGUAUGUGGGGCAGUUUGUGAGUAAGGGAUACAAUGUGUGUGUAGGGGCACAGUGUGGGAGGGGGGACAGCACUAAUCCCUGGUGGUCCGGUGGAGAAGCUCUGGCAGUCCUAGUGGUGAGAGUGAACUCUAUCCUGCAGCUCAGGCUAGAGUUCACUGUUGCGAGGUUUGGAGCGUUGCCAUGGUAACCAGGGCAAUGCUCCAAGCUCGGGAGAGGAGAACCCGGCGGAGCUGCAGGUUACAGCUGCAGCUCCCCUGCCGGCUGCCAGCUGUACAGUGCCAGCAGGCCGGUGAAGGUGAUCACUGAUCUCCCCUCUGGUCCAGCAGAGCCGGCAGGGGAGAGGGAGGCACGGUUCCAGGUGCUAUAAUCAUAGCACCAGGAACAUAUCUUUUAUAUUUUGUGCCCGUCGCUGCAUCCUAUUUUGGGAACCGUUGGGCCAGAGCCUGUUUGUCACUUGCAGCCUUGAGUGCCAUAGGUUGCUGACCCCUGUUCUAAACUAUAUUUUAGUUGUAUAAAUUGUUAUUAGUAAGUCACCUAGAAUUUCUCAGAGAAGCCCCGCACCUGGCCACACACCCACUCACACCCCUAAAUUGAAAGUGCCCGUCUUUGUAUAUUAUACAGGGUUAAUCACAAAAUUGUCUGGACUUCAAAGUACAAUUCAGAUUUCAGGCCAUAAUUCCUCAAUUUAGAGAAUUUCUGGCUUAAAAACUUUCAGUUUAACAUCAUAUUGAAUUCCAGACAAUUCUCAUUUCAGUGGUUAACUUUAAAUAAUAUGUUUCAAAGAACACAAUUUAGUGAGUGUUUAAUAACUGAGAAUAUCCAUUCAGUGUAUGUUAGAAAGGGGUUAUUUUCGGACUUGUAAAUGGUUUAAGGAAUGUUGCAUUUCAGUCGACAGUUUCAGUGUAACGCGAUAGGCCCACAUUUUUUCGUGACAUAAUUCUUUUCAAAAUCCUAACGUCAAAUUGCAAGUGUUCUUUAAUGGUUUCUGCUCCUGGAAAUGUGAAACCAAUGGAUUAAAUCAGUUUUAAUUAAUUUUAGUCUUCCCCAUUUGUAGCCAGCUUCUGCUACUGAAAAUGUCUAGAGACACCAUCAGCCCCUAUCCUCACACUUACCUGCUACGUGUGACCUAAGUAUUUACCUAGUUCUUUACAGACAACUCAGCCUUAAAGGAACACUGUAGUCACCUAAAUUACUUUAGCUAAGUAAAGGAGUUUUAGUGUAUAGCUCAAUUCACUGUCAUUUAGGAGUUAAAUCACUUUGUUUCUGUGUAUGCAGCCCUAGCCACACCUCCCCUGGCUAUGAUUGACAGAGCCUGCAUGAAAAAAAACAGAUGUAAUUUACCUUAAAUAAUUG
This 2385-nucleotide long non-coding RNA is filed under the name Pelobates cultripes (western spadefoot toad). Lineage: Eukaryota; Metazoa; Chordata; Amphibia; Anura; Pelobatidae. The record is from RNAcentral.